CUGAUGGAGCAACGCCGCGUGAACGAUGAAGGCUUUCGGGUCGUAAAGUUCUGUUGUAAGGGAAGAACAAGUGCCGCAGGCAAUGGCGGCACCUUGACGGUACCUUGCGAGAAAGCCACGGCUAACUACGUGCCAGCAGCCGCGGUAAUACGUAGGUGGCAAGCGUUGUCCGGAAUUAUUGGGCGUAAAGCGCGCGCAGGCGGCCUCUUAAGUCUGAUGUGAAAGCCCCCGGCUCAACCGGGGAGGGCCAUUGGAAACUGGGAGGCUUGAGUAUAGGAGAGAAGAGUGGAAUUCCACGUGUAGCGGUGAAAUGCGUAGAGAUGUGGAGGAACACCAGUGGCGAAGGCGACUCUUUGGCCUAUAACUGACGCUGAGGCGCGAAAGCGUGGGGAGCAAACAGGAUUAGAUACCCUGGUAGUCCACGCCGUAAACGAUGAGUGCUAGGUGUUGGAGGGUUUCCGCCCUUCAGUGCUGAAGCUAACGCAUUAAGCACUCCGCCUGG
Molecule: ribosomal RNA, 502 nt
Filed under: Exiguobacterium sp.
Lineage: Bacteria; Bacillati; Bacillota; Bacilli; Caryophanales
Description: bacterial SSU rRNA
Rfam family: Bacterial small subunit ribosomal RNA
Source: RNAcentral